Long non-coding RNA from Peromyscus leucopus (white-footed mouse), 674 nucleotides. RefSeq lists it as uncharacterized. The record is from RefSeq and is a predicted model, not a curated record. NCBI's taxonomy places the organism in Eukaryota, Metazoa, Chordata, Mammalia, Rodentia, Cricetidae. The transcript has 3 exons.
CUAUACUCAGAGUAGUUCCAAGAAACGUGAUAACCACUGGAAACCAAGUGACAUUCUUCUGUCAAGGGCCCUUAGAGGCCAAGGAAUACCGUCUCUGCAAAGAAGGAAGUCGGAUUGCUUGUACCAACAACCCUUAUAGAAACUGAGAACUUGGCCAAAUUCUCUAUCUCAUCAAUUGAAUGGAACAAUGGAGGCCAAUAUAGGUGUGAAUAUAAGAGCCCCAAUGGUGCAUUAGAACACAGUGACUACUUGGAGCUUGUGGUGACAGGAGUUUACCAGAGCAGUGUCACCCUGUCAGCCCUUCCCAGCCCAGUGGUGACUGUAGGAGAAAAUGUGACCCUUCAAUGUGUGUCACAACAUCCAUAUGACAGGUUAAUUCUGAUGAAGGAGGAUGAGAAGUUCUCCCUGGCUUUGUCCUCACAGAAUACACACCCUGACCUAUUUGGAGCCAUGUUCACAGUGGGUCCUGUGACCCCCAACCAGAGGUGGAGGUUCACAUGCUAUGGGUAUUACUCCAGCAACUCCCAGCUGUGGUCGGUUCCCAGUCCCGAAUUAGAGCUUCUGGUCUCAGGGACCCUCCAGAAACCCACCAUUUGGGCUGAGCCGGACUCUGUGAUCACCUCAGGGAAUCCUGUGACUAUCUGGUGUGAGGGAAUUAAGGAAACUCAAAUGUA